RNAcentral lists this ribosomal RNA (301 nucleotides) under uncultured bacterium. RNAcentral describes it as "partial 16S ribosomal RNA". It matches the Rfam family "Bacterial small subunit ribosomal RNA", at positions 509 to 809 of the family's 1533-position model. The record is from RNAcentral.
CAGUAGCCACGGUAAUACGAAGGGGGCUAGCGUUGUUCGGAAUUACUGGGCGUAAAGCGCACGUAGGCGGAUAUUUAAGUCAGGGGUGAAAUCCCAGAGCUCAACUCUGGAACUGCCUUUGAUACUGGGUAUCUUGAGUAUGGAAGAGGUGAGUGGAAUUCCGAGUGUAGAGGUGAAAUUCGUAGAUAUUCGGAGGAACACCAGUGGCGAAGGCGGCUCACUGGUCCAUUACUGACGCUGAGGUGCGAAAGCGUGGGGAGCAAACAGGAUUAGAUACCCCAGUAGUCCUGUCUCUUAUACA